RNAcentral lists this ribosomal RNA (460 nucleotides) under uncultured bacterium. RNAcentral's name for it is "partial 16S ribosomal RNA". It matches the Rfam family "Bacterial small subunit ribosomal RNA", at positions 338 to 795 of the family's 1533-position model. The record is from RNAcentral.
CCUACGAGAGGCAGCAGUGAGGAAUAUUGGUCAAUGGACGAGAGUCUGAACCAGCCAAGUAGCGUGAAGGAUGACUGCCCUAUGGGUUGUAAACUUCUUUUAUAUGGGAAUAAAACAGGGUAUGCAUACCCUCUUGUAUGUACCAUAUGAAUAAGGAUCGGCUAACUCCGUGCCAGCAGCCGCGGUAAUACGGAGGAUUCGAGCGUUAUCCGGAUUUAUUGUGUUUAAAGGGAGCGUAGGUGGAUUGUUAAGUUUGUUGUGAAAGUUUGCGGCUAAACCGUAAAAUCGCAGUUGAAACUGGCAGUCUUGAGUACAGUAGAGGUAGGCGGAAUACGUGGUGUAGCGGUGAAAUGCUUAGAUAUCACGAAGAACUCCGAUUGCGAAGGCAGCUCACUGGACUGCAACUGACGCUGAUGCUCGAGAGUGUGGGUAGCAAACAGGAUUAGAUACCCUUGUAGUC